UGUCUGUUAUUGCAGACUAGCAUGAACGGCAAAAUGAGGGCUAACUGUCUCUUAUAGUAAAUCAAUUAAACUGAUCUCCCAGUAAAAAAGCUAGGAUAUACACAUAAGACCAGAAGACCCUGUGAAGCUUAAACUAAACUAUUAAACCCAUUAAUACCUACUUUCGGUUGGGGCGACCUUGGAAAAAAAAAGAACUUCCAAACUAAACAAUACACCACCACAGGCCUACAAGCCAAUUAACGACCCAGCACCGCUGAUAAUUGAACCAAGUUACUCCAGGGAUAACAGCGCCAUCCUCUUCAAGAGCCCAUAUCAAAAAGAGGGUUUACGACCUCGAUGUUGGAUCAGGACAUCCUGA
RNAcentral lists this ribosomal RNA (358 nucleotides) under Xenopholis undulatus. Its description in RNAcentral is "partial large subunit ribosomal RNA". It matches the Rfam family "Bacterial large subunit ribosomal RNA", at positions 1970 to 2550 of the family's 2925-position model. Lineage: Eukaryota; Metazoa; Chordata; Lepidosauria; Squamata; Dipsadidae. The record is from RNAcentral.